GCUUUUGUAGUGUAGUUGUCAGCACGCUCGGCACGUAUUCGAGAGGUCAGUGGUUCGAGUCCCGGCGAGGGCA
This 73-nucleotide transfer RNA is filed under the name Stegodyphus mimosarum. It matches the Rfam family "tRNA". From Rfam's summary of the family: Transfer RNA (tRNA) molecules are approximately 80 nucleotides in length. Lineage: Eukaryota; Metazoa; Arthropoda; Arachnida; Araneae; Eresidae. The record is from Rfam by way of RNAcentral.